GGCUACCUACGGAGGCAGCAGUGGGGGAUAUUGCACAAUGGGGGAAACCCUGAUGCAGCGACGCCGCGUGAGUGAAGAAGUAUUUCGGUACGUAAAGCUCUAUCAGCAGGGAAGAAUAAUGACGGUACCUGACUAAGAAGCCCCGGCUAACUACGUGCCAGCAGCCGCGGUAAUACGUAGGGGGCAAGCGUUAUCCGGAUUUACUGGGUGUAAAGGGAGCGUAGACGGCUGUGCAAGUCUGAAGUGAAAUGCCGGGGCUCAACCCCGGAACUGCUUUGGAAACUGUUAAGCUGGAGGACUGGAGG
This 305-nucleotide ribosomal RNA is filed under the name uncultured bacterium. RNAcentral's name for it is "bacterial SSU rRNA". It matches the Rfam family "Bacterial small subunit ribosomal RNA", at positions 334 to 655 of the family's 1533-position model. The record is from RNAcentral.